GCUUGACUGUGGAGGUGAAUAUCAGUCCUAUUUUAAUCUGUUGGAAAAUAGCUGCAGGUGACAUGACUUUCAUGUAGGUUCCAAUGUGUACAUAUACAAAUAAUUGAGGCUCUUGACCCUGUCUAUGAACAUACAACUGUAAGUACAAAUUUGACAUUUGGAAUCUUGAUACCCCUUGUAGCCUUUCCUGUACUUAUUUUCUGUUUCAAUAAUCCGUUGGAGGGAGAGAAAAAAAUAAUAAUGGAACGAAAGGGAGCAUGAAUGAUUAAUGCUGUCAAGCUAAAAUAACGUAUUUAGAAAAAUCCAUAAAUCUGUUAUUUGUGGCAUUUGAGAAACUGAGCAGCAUGCUCAUUGGUCCCGUCAGGUAAUAUUACAGGGAACUUGAUGUAAAUGUAAUAUUGCAUAUUAACCCUCUGGCUGCUACAAUGUUCAGAGCAAUAUGUGUUUCGCAAAUAUUCUGAUUAAAAUAUGUAUGACAAAGACCGGUGCUAUAGGUUAAAUACAGGCAAAUGGCACUGCUGAAGCCUUGAUGUCCAAGCACGGCAAAUGCAUUUGCAGCCUUUUUGACUGUUUUCACUUUAUAAUAUAUUCAUUUAAUAGGUUGCAGGAUAGCAAUAUUUAUAAAACACACAUGCGGUUCAAAACAUUUCAUGUUUAUUGAGAGGCAGAUUCCUUUUAGUCAACAGACUUCCAUUUUGACAUUGCAGAUGUUUUUGGUCUUCAGAUAGCAACUCCACCAAUAAAUCUCCAGACACCAUCUUCACCAUUUUAUGUUCAUAUCAACUCUACAUUUGGUUGUAAUCUUAGACUUAAUGAGAAGAAUACGACUAGUCAGAUAAGAGGAGGAAUUGACUUUCACAUACAGCAGGAGAUUCACUAAUGUUCAGAAAAUGAGCACUUUUCUCACAGAUAAAAAAAGUAGUGCGUACAAAGAAUGGCCUCAGCAGAACAAGCCAUGAUUAAAAUGGGAAAGGAUGGCAAAUUGGCUCUACAUAACUGUAAGUUGUUUUGUUCAUGAACAUAAAAAGUAGCUCUAGCGUGUAAAGCAAAAAAAAAAAAAGAAAAAAAAAGGAAUAGUGUUUGUGUAUGGGACAGGCAGAUACAGCCACAGCAGUUGCAAGUGAAAAUCUUUUCUGAUUUUGAUGCCACAACGUCACUUCUCUUCCUCGGUUUCUUUUUAUUCUCAAUAUUUGCCCUGCAUACGUUCUCAAAGGAGGAGACAGCCUGAUGAAUGGUGUGUCUUCAAAUCUUGUGAAUGGAUCUUGAUGAUGGUCAAGGUGACAGGCAUAGAGUGAUAUCUUCAGGGAGCCGUUGUACCUCUUCUUUGGUGCUCCACUAUUGUGGUGCCAAGUAGCGAGUUCACCAUACAGCACAACCUUAGAUAGGCGAUGAUAUUUCAUCCUGGAGAUAUGCCUUGCCCAAUGCAGCUGCAACUUCAAAAGUAAUGCAUUAAUGCUGAUGGGCUUUGACAGUUUGAGAGUUUUGAUGUUGGUGAUGAAGUCAUUCCAAUGGAUAUUAAGGAUUGUGUGGAGGCAGCUUUGGUGAACGCAUUCAAAGAGUUGCAGGUGAUGGCGAUAGGUAACCUGUGCAAGAGAGUGGUCAGUAUGACAGCUUUGUGCACACUCAUCUUUGUGCUUCUCUUUAGAGGUUUGUUGUUCCAAACUCUCUUAUACAGUCUGCUCAACGCUCUGUUUGACUUUGCCAGUAUGCCAUCUCUUUGUCGAUCUUGGCAUUUAAAAACAGAUGAAGCACUCAAGGUAGCUGAAAUGAUGGACUGUCUACAGCUCUGAUUCGCCAAUAGUGAUGCGGGGGUGAUGGUAAACUUCAUAAAGUGCAGGCUGGUAGUGGACUUAUGUCUUCUUCAGGUUGACUUCUAGUCCAAAGAGCUCAGCAACCUCUGUGAGCAGGGAGUUAAUCUCUGCAGAGCUAUCACCAUGUGGAAAACAAUGGCAGCAUCGUCCACGAAAAGCAGCUCUUUGAUGAUUUGUCACCAUGUUGGUCUGGGCUCUUAGUCACCUCAGGUUAAACAGGCAGCCAUCAGUGCAGUAACGGAUGUAGACACCAUCCUCUUUAUCAAGCAGUCGCCCCUUUGAAGCAUCAAGCUGAAAAAGAUUGUGAACAGAGUUGGUGCACAAACACUGCCUUGUUUUACACCAUUGCCUAUAAGGAAGGGUUCCAAUAGGUUGUUGCUGUGUCUGACCUGGCCAUGGUGAGCUUCGUGUAGCUGAAGGAUCAUACUGAGGAACUUAUGGGGACAUCCUAGGCAUUCCAAGAUUUGCCACAUAUCUUUUCUGCUCACAGUGUUGAAUGGCUGGUGAGGUGAAUGAAUGUCACAUAUAUAUAUACACAAUUGAGAUCUUUCUGGAAAGUAUACAGCCAUGUAAUAUGAAAAAUAAAGACAUUUAUUGAAGAAGAUACAAGAAACAUUGUACGUAGGACAAUGAUACCUCAGUCCCCUUAAAAGUAGGCAUCAUGGUACCUCAAAGAGUUCUCCCAGCGUCUCUUCCCCUGUUCAAAACACUCUGCAAAAUCCUUUGUUAAAAAAAUUGCCAUCAACUGCCUCAUCUUAUUUACCUGAAUCUCAUCAACAUUCUGAAAUCUCUUUUAGUUUUGGGAAAAGCCAGAAGUCACAGGGCGCCAAAUUUUUCAAUAGAUUCUCGACCAUCUUUGAAGCAUUUGUGCCACACUUUUUUUGUGCUUUACUCAUUGCAUCGUCGCCGAAAGCCUUCUGAAUAAUCUGAAUAGUUUCCACAGAGGCAUGUUCAAGCUUAACACAAAAUUUGAUGCAAAUUCGCUGCUCUACUUACUCAGUGAUUUGAAUGCGAUGGCCACACAGUGCACAUGCGCGCAAACCGCUCUAGGUACAUUAACAAUGGCUGGACCUUUUCCGGACAGAUAUCACAUGUGUUUGUUUAAAUAUAUUUAUGUACACACCAAAAUUAAAUGUUUCAAGGAUCAGAGAGUAUUGAUCCAUUUACACCAUCCACCCCUCCACAUUUAAAAUACCUUAAAAAAAUUAAAAAAAUACCAGUAAGGUAUUGUCAUUCAUGAAAAAGGGCAUUCAUUCUCAGAAGAGAAUAUCAUUUUGCCUCUUUAUAAAUCACUGGUAAGACCACAUAUUGAAUAUGCUGUGCAAUUUUGGGCACCUGUUCUAAAGAAGGAUAUUAUGGCACUAGAAAAAGUGCGGAGGCGGGCUACAAAAUCAAUAAAAGGAAUGGAACAUAUCAGCUAUGAAGAAAGGUUAACAAAUUUAAACCUAUUUAGUUUAGAAAAACAUCGCCUGAGAGGGGAUAUGAUAACAUUAUACAAAUAUAUUGUGUGGAAAUCUAUUCACAAACCAGACUUUACAUAGGACACAAGGUCAUGCGUUUAGACUGGAAGAAAGAAGAUUUUGUCUAAGGCAAAGGAAAGGUUUUUUUACUGUAAGAACAAUAAGGAUGUGGAAUUCUCUGCCUGAAGAACUGGUUUUAUCAGAGUCCAUACAGAUGUUCAAACAACUACUAGAUGCAUACUUCCAAAAACAGAAUAUUCAAGGAUUUAAUCUUUCAAUGUAGGGUAAUAACUGCUUGAUCCAAGGAUAAAUCUGUCUGCCAUUCUGGGGUCAAGAAUUAUUUUUUUCUUUUCCUAGCUUGUUGCAAAAUUAGAAGUGCUUCAAACUGUUUUUUUUUUUUUGCCUUCUAUUGGAUCAACAGCAAAAAACAAAUGUGAGGAAGGCUGAACUUGAUGGACACAAGUCUCUUUUCAGCUAUGUAACUAUGUAACUUAUAUUCUUAUCUGUGUCUUGGGACUCUGACAGAGGAUCUACAACAGCUCUACCAAAGUUAGAGAGGAUGUAUGAACCUCAUCAAAAAGACCCCAAAAACAAACACUGUAAAUAAAAUUAAUUUGGGAGUGUUAAUGAAAGAAUAUGCAAGUAUGUAAGUAUAUGUGUGUCAGUGAAUGUAUGUGCUUCAGUAUCUGUGCAAGUGUGUGUCUGGCAGUGAGUGUAUGUCAGUGCGUAUCUGUCGGUGAGAGUGUGUGUCUGUCAGUGAAUGUGUAAAUAAAAAUAUUUGAUUUGUAGUGAUACAUAUAUAUAUAUAUAUAUAUAUAUAUAUACACACACACACACACACACACACACACACUAUUGUCAAGCGUUUUUUAGUUCACACCUAACCUAUUGUUAAUUCCUGAUCUCCUUGAUGUUUGAAGUCUUGCUAGUUGUUUAAUUUUGGCAUUCCAUUAUUAGAUAGUCAAACAGUGUACAUAUGCCUGCUUGCAAUCACUUUUCUUUUGCCUCCUUAUAGACAUUUUCUUAAGCACCUUGAUGGCUGGUACUACAUCUACCUGUCCGUUUCUUGCUUUGCUGUCUUUCUUUGUAAGGUUCUGGUCCCACAGCAUCCCAACACCAACAUUAUACAGAUGCUUCCAAUCAAAUGACAUUAUUUAUAGGUAAACGACAUGACCUAUGAUAGACUUCAGAAAACACAAAGUGUAUGCUAGAGCCACAUCUGUAUCAUUUCCCCACGUCUGCUCCCAUUACAGACAAGACAGAACAUAUUACAUGUUCUUUAUAUCAGAAACACAGAAAAAAUGUCUGGUUGAACACUCCAACGUGUGCAAAUAUUAGCAUUGUUGUUCAUAUCCCCAGUGAAAGGAUGCAAAAUUAGAUAGUGGGAGAUUUAAAAAAAAUAAUAAUUUUGCCAGCAAGAAUAUUCUCGCCUGUGGUCAUGUAUUCUAGAAAACUGACUCUAAUUCCGCUUAUAUAAAAUAGUGACAAUACUGUACAUCAAAUACAUUCCAAUUAUUUUCUACUGAGGUCUUUUAGAAAUCCAUGUUUCUUUGUACACGACCCUGAUAACAAACAGCCUUAGUCUAUUUUUGUUCAUAAUAGACUCUUCAGUGUCACACACAAUGGAGUAAUAAUUUUAUAUUAAAUUCAUUGAUCAUCAAAAAAGGACGGUAAAAACACUGUUACGUGUCUUGCAGAAAAGUUUACACUUAGUCCUUCAUAGGCAAGAGAAUAGGCAUCAUUCUUUUAUUUAAUAACACUGUACAAUCUUUUUGCAGGAUGAAAAACUACAACAUAAGCACAAUGUCUUUUCUGUACUUUGGAAUGGUUAUAAGCACUUUUUUAUAUCAGGGAUGUCAAACAAAGUCACCCAUGACUACAAACCUAACUGUUUUCAGAUUCUUCUAAUUAACUGACACCCAAACAAAGAUUAUCUGGCUCCACACAAUGUAUUAUGUGCCACCUUUAGAUCAUUCUUUGACUUCAUCUCAGAGGACCACUUUUGAGACCACCUGUGUAUGCAGGUCUAUUGGAAACCUAAUUUACUUAGAAGGUACCAACAUUCCUUACUGUGCAGCACAAAGUAAAUGUAGAUGGUACACAUUUCUCUGUGUGACUGUAAACGACAUUGACCUACUCCCAAAUACUUACAAAUUUUAUUCAUCAGGGAAAAAACAAAAAGUAGAUGGAGAGAUGUAAACCAUUUUAUUGCACUAAAAUGUAUGCAUAAUAUUAAAAAAACAACAACAUCUUCUGAAACUCAACCAGCACCACUAAUGAAAAACCGUUCAAUGUAGGAAGGGUCAAACCAAAUUUUCUUGGCAAUCUGUGAAUUUGGUGUUCCCUACCAAACUGUUAUUAAUCUAGUAAAAAUUCCCUUAAAAUCUGGCGAGUGUGAAGCCUUUUAAAAGCCAAAGAUUUAUAGGUCUAAAAUACCAGCUCUUGGCAUGUGUCUACAUUUUAUGGGAUCCACAACCUCCCCAACGCAUUUACCAUUUGUAAAAUUAAUGUAUAAAACAACUUUAUACCUGAUUUUCUGUAGUAGUUCUAAGGCCAAGGUCAUUAAUAAGAUGUCAAUCACAUAUUCCUGCCUAAGCCCUACAGUAAAGGAAAAGAUUGUACAGCAAAUGCUGAUGCCAAUCAUUGAUUAUGGGGAUGUAGUAUAUGCAUCUGCCUCGCAAUCCCACAUUAAUAAACUCAACACAUUGUAUAACGCGUUCUGCCGAUUUGUGCUACAAUGUAAUUACAGGACUCACCAUUGUGACAUGCUAAAAGAACUAAACUGGCUGUCGCUGGAAUCCAGACGCACCCUUUAUCUUUCCAGCCUUGUAUUUAAGAGCUUUUCUGGGAAACACCCACCCUACCUGAACAAAAUGCUUUUCCCAGCUGUUCCCACUUCCUAUAAGCUCUGAUCCAGUACCAACACUUUACUUAGUCUACCUCAAUACAAAAAGAAAGAAGCCAGAUUCUCCUUCUUCUACAGAGCGCCGUAAUUGUGGAACGACCUCCCGCACAAUUUAAAAUCUUCCCUAAGCCUUUGUAUUUUAUUGUACCCUAAUGUAACAAUGCAAUGAAUUGUGGACCCAGGACAUACUUGAAAACAAGAGAAAUCUCAAUGUAUCUUUCCUGGUAAAAUAUUUUAUAAAUAAUAUUCAAUAUCAUUAAUGUUAAAUAUAUUUAUGUUUCCCACUUAGAAUGAAAUCUAUGUGGGCAUUAAAGAAAACCGUUAACUUUAGAGGAAUAGUUUUAACAAUUUUAACUGUACCAUGUAAUGAACAGGUUUAAUAAUGACUGGGCGUUCACAGACUCUAUAUUACAUUACAUGACAUGACAUGCUGAGGUCACCUUAUGGUCUUUAACAUAGCGCUAACCAAAUUACUACAUGUUUUAUUACACUAACAUGGCUUGUUGUGUCUUUAAUGAAUAGGGAACAAUCUACUUUUGUUUGAGAGGACAAGGUAACUAUAAACAUGUAGGAAAUGUCCUCAGUAUAUCCGCCCUCGGCAGCGACCAGAACAUAGAGAUACGGGUCAGACAGAAGUCAAUGUUCUUAUCUUGAUGCUGACUCUUUGGGGAUUGAUAAAAAAUGUUUCCCCUAGAUUAAAUUCCAGAAAUUAAAACCUGGGAAAAUCAUUUGUAAUGAUAUUAUAUUUACAACUUUUGGUUUAAUCCUGUAAGUGCCCGAGGGUUUAGAAAAACAUUGUUGUGCAAUUUCCAGCUCGAGAUGCUCUGAAUACAUUCAGCAAAGUAUUGCUGUGCAUGCUGGGAUUAUACCAAACAUAUUUACUUGAGUAUAAUGACAUUGAAUGGGCAUAGGAUCUUAUCAUCCAGAAUGCCUUGGGUGAUAACAUGCAUCAAUCAGGGGUGGCAACCUCUACUUUACAUUAGCUGGAUUCUACAAUGACUCACAUGAAGAUUAGCCAACCACCAUACCUAGUACAAGGCAAACAGAGGAUAGGAGAAGUCGCAAUGCAAUGUAAAAUAGUUUGAAUGAUAGAACUUAUUCCUUGGACUAGAUUCUCUGCUGUAGAAAAUGAAAAUAACUUGUCUCAUUUAUUAUUCCAAAUAAACUUUUAUCCCACAUGCAGAUAAAGGAUAGCUCACAUUACACUGUAAUUAGGUGUGUUACCCUAGAAUCACGCAGACAGUUGCUCAUUUUCCUGAUUAAUUUUGCAGCCAUGGACAGACUUUCUAUAAAUCCCACACAAAACCCAAUGGUAUUGCAUCCAAAAUAAGCAGCUCUGGCAGACACUCAGGGCAAUACCAUACCUUGGGGGCUUCCAUUCUUGAUAAAUAGGCUUGUUUCCUGUUUUAGAAACAUUAGCUUUAUGUAUUCACAUUGAUAUAUUUAUAGAUGUGUUUUUAAGUAUAUCCAUUCCAAGUUGUGCAAGGUAAAUGUAAAAUCACCAUAAAUGUUCUCAGAGUAAUUGCUCCUACCUGGAACCUUUUUGAGCUAGCUGUCUAAACCACGCUAUUUAUCCUGGGGACUAAAAGGAAGGUCACCCCAGCAGGUGCAUGUUUCUAAACUCUAUUAUAGUAGGUCAAAGGUCGGUAUCAGAAAAGAUCUGAUAACAUGUCCAAGUUCUUUCUACAGUUAGGUUUACCAUUAAAUCAUGUAUGUUUACAGUAACAAUCCACCCUUCUCUUUCUAUCUGUACCCAUGCUGAAUGUUUAAAAUAGAAAAAAAAAAAAACAUUGCCGCUAUUACAUCCAAACUAGAAUUUCUACAUUUGUGCCCCUCUAUUUAUAUACUAUCGUCAGUGUCCCAAAAAGCUUUAAUACUUACCAGAGGUGACUUCUAGUAGAGUGCCCCUCUAUUUAUAUACUAUCGUCAGUGUCCCAAAAAGCUUUAAUACUUACCAGAGGUGACUUCUAGUAGAGUGUUAAGGGUUAAAGAGGUAUUGUGUGGUAUACCCACACAAUAUCUCUUUAACCCUUAACCCUCCUUACCACAGCUCUUAAAAAUACAGCACUCUCCUACUAAUGUUCUCACCUCUAUUUUUCACUUUCUCUCUCACUUCCCUCAUCAUUAAAAUCUCUCUAUCAUUUUACUUACCUGUUCCUGCUAACACCAUCUUCAUUGCUCCAUCUCUGCUCCUCUCAUCUCUGUAUUCAUCACACACACUUUAUUAAUAUUUAUCCAGCCUUUCUCAACACACCCCUCCUAAAUACCCUAAAUACAAGCGCUCAUCCCCAACAUUUAAAUCUUACUCCCACCUUCUCUUCCUUUCCAUCCUACUACUCCUAGCAGCAGGUGAUGUCUCUCCAAACCCUGGUCCCUCCACUACUCAGCCACCUGGUACAAACACCAGAAACCACAACAACCUAAUAACCAUUCCAUGUAAUUCUCACUAUAAUUCCUCUUUUAAAGCUGCCCUCUGGAAUGCACGCUCCGUGUGCAGCACCUUUAAAUCUACUUCCAUCCAUGCCCUAUUUAUCUCACACUCCCUAAACCUACUUGCACUAACAGAAACAUGGCUCUCUCCCUCUGAUACUGCUACACCUGCCUCACUGUCCUUUGGUGGUCUUCACUUUACCCACAAUCCAAGACCAGCGGAGAUUAAAGGUGGCGGUGUAGGUUUUCUUCUCUCACCGCACUGCUCCUUUAAAACCCUGUCCACCCCCCCCUUCCCUCUCUUUCCCAUCAUUUGAAAUUCAUUCAAUUCGCCUUUUCAAACACUUCUCUGCUAACAUUGCCGUAAUCUAUCGUCCCCCUGGUUCCCCUCUCCUCUUCCUUGAACACUUUGCUGCCUGGCUACCCUACUUCCUCUCUUCCAACAUCCCAUCCCUAAUUCUUGGAGACUUCAAUAUUCCCAUUAACCCACCUUUAACCCCAGCAGCCUCUAAACUACUUUCAAUCACUUCCUCCCUUGGACUUUUGCAGUGGGCUAAUUUUCCCACUCAUGUAGCUGGCAAUACCCUUAACCUUAUUUUCUCUUAUUCAUGUACAAUAUCUAAUAUCUGCAACACCCCAUUUCCUCUCUCUGAUCACCACCUCUUAUCGUUUGCUCUCAACUACCCCCUCACCCAACAAUCUCAGCCUAACCCCCCUCAGCUCAGGAGGAACCUUAACUCUAUUAACCUCCAGCAGCUGUCAGCUGACAUUGAUUCACAACUGCUAUCCAUCCCUUCCCUCUCCUGUCCCUCACUGGCCAUCUCCACAUAUAACACUACCCUCACAUCUGCCUUGAACGCUGCAGCCCCGCUCCAAACAUGCAUCUCAAGGAGGACACGACCCCAACCUUGGCAUAAUAAAUCAACACGCUAUCUGCAGAGUUGCUCCCGUUGUGCUGAACGCUCCUGGAGGAAGUCCCGCACCCAGGCAGACUUUCUCCAUUAUAGAUUCAUGUUGCUUUCAUACAGCGCAGCCCUCGCUCUCGCCAAACAGUCAUACAUUUCCACUCUCAUUAGUUCAUGCUCCCGCAAUCCCAGACGUCUCUUUAAAAACCUUUAAUUCCCUUCUCCGCCCUGCUGUGGCCACCCCCCAAACUAACCUUACAGCUGAUAGCUUUGCAUGCUACUUUACCGACAAGAUUAAACAGCUAAGGAAACAAUUCUCCCCUCCUUGCCGUUCUCUUUCUCAACCACAUGUAAAUCUUGCUUUCCCUACCCUCCAGACUUUCUACCCGGCUACUGAACAAGAGGUGGCUGCGCUUCUCCAUUCCUCUCGCCCCACCACUUGCCCGCUCGAUCCUGUCCCAUCUCACCUCAUCAGAUCUCUCUCCCCUUGUCUUGUGCCUACCCUAACACACAUCUUUAACUGCUCUCUCUCUUCUGGCACUGUUCCUGCUGACCUUAAACAUGCCACUGUAAUACCUAUCCUGAAAAAAACAUCUCUUGACCCAUCCUCCCCUUCUAAUUAUCGUCCCAUAUCCCUGCUCCCUUUCUCAUCAAAGCUUUUGGAAAGACUUGUCUUUACCCGUGUGUCCCGCUUCCUUAAUUCCAACUCUCUCCUUGACCCUCUUCAGUCUGGCUUCCGCCCUCUCCACUCUACUGAGACUGCUCUUAUCAAAGUGACUAAUGACCUAAUCUCCGCUAAAUCCAAAGGUCACUACUCCAUAUUAAUUCUCCUUGACCUCUCUGCUGCCUUUGACACCGUUGAUCAUGCUCUCCUCCUUCAAACUCUUCAAUCGCUCGGUCUCUGUGACUCUGUCCUCUCUUGGUUUUCCUCCUAUCUCUCCCAACGCUCAUUCAGUGUCUCCUUUUCCAAGGACACCUCCUCCCCUCGUCCUGUCUCGGUUGGAGUUCCCCAAGGGUCUGUCCUUGGUCCCCUUCUAUUUUCUCUUUAUACUGCCUCUCUUGGUAAACUUAUUGCCUCUUUUGGAUUCCACUACCACCUGUACGCUGAUGACACUCAGAUAUACCUCUCCUCCCCGGACCUCUCCCCUGCUGUCCUGCAACGUGUCACUGCUUGCUUUUCUUCCAUCUCUGACUGGAUGUCCUCACGCUUUCUGAAACUUAACCUCUCUAAAACUGAACUCCUUGUCUUUCCUCCUCCUAAUACUGAUCCUCCUCUCUCGCUCUCCCUUCAAGUCAGUGAUAUCCACAUAAGUCCAUCCCUGCAAGCGCGCUGUCUUGGCGUCAUACUUGACUCUGGGCUCACCUUUGAGUCUCACAUCCAGUUUGUUGCCAAGUCCUGUAGGUUCCAACUCAAAAACAUAGCCCGCAUUUGCCCCUUUCUUACGCAAGAUGCUACCAAGGAGCUUGUCCAUGCUCUAGUAAUUUCCCGCAUGGAUUACUGUAACCCUCUCCUGAUUGGUCUCCCCAAAAGCCGUAUUGCCCCUCUACAGUCUGUAAUGAAUGCUGCAGCUAGACUGAUUUUCCUCUCUAGUCGGUCCUCUCACACCUCACCCCUCUGCCAGUCCUUACAUUGGCUCCCUGUAUGCUAUAGGAGUCAAUUCAAAGUGCUAACCCAUACAUUUAAAGCACUGAACAAUUCUAGCCCCACUUAUAUCUCUUCACUAAUCCAUAGAUAUGCCCCUCCUCGUACCCUCCGCUCUGCCCGUGACCACCUCCUGACCGCUGCUCGCACCCGUACGGCCAACUCGCGCUUGCAGGACCUCUUGCGGGCGGCUCCUCUCCUAUGGAAUAGCUUGCCUACUGCCAUCAGACUCUCCCCUAGUCUUCAAUCAUUUAAGAAGGGCCUUAAAACCCAUCUCUUCAGGAAAGCUUAUGGCCUCCCAGAGUAAUCUCUACCUUACAUACCUGUCUCCUGCUCUCUCCUAUGGGACAGUGCUUUGCUCUCUCCUCCAGCUCUGCUUCACUCCUACUUGAUAUUCCAUGUCCUAAUGUUUCUAAUACCCUACCUCCUAUAGUCUGUAAGCUCGUUUGAGCAGGGUCCUCUUCAACCUAUUGUUCCUGUAAGUUUUCUUGUAAUUGUCCUAUUUAUUGUUACAUCCCCCCUCUCAAAAUAUUGUAAAGCGCUACGGAAUCUGUUGGCGCUAUAUAAAUGGCAAUAAUAAUAAGAAAUGUACAUCUUUGGAAGCACUCCGGUGGAGUCAAAUGACACUCUGAGCCAAUGUGCUAGCCUUGCACUGCUAACUCCAGGCAAGAAGUGAAAUCCUUCUAAAACAGUUUGACUCCUUACAAUAGAGGAUUGGUGGGGGUCCAGGGCAGUUAUGGCACCAUAACCGUAGAGUGCUGUAGUGGUUAUAGUGUUUGGAGUGUUCUUUAAUUGCACUCGUAUAGAUGUUAAUGCCUCAUGCCGCUCAAAGAGGAUUCUAGAUUUUUUGAUGGCGAACCAUAAUGAUUUAAGGCAUCCCAUUUCUAACAUACCAUGUUAAAAAAAAAGUCUUAAAAAAAUCAGUAUGUGGACAGACAUGUUUGUUUUUAUACAUGAAACUCUGAUAAGUAUGUAGUAUAAUUAUUUAGGCCUUUCUCCUCUUCUGAAGGGUUUCCUACAUGACAGCUCUAAGCAGAUAUUUAUGCGGUUUAUACAGUAGAACUCUCUGUACUGUAUAUGAAAUGUAGGCACCUGAAUAACUCUUUAAAGGCGCAUGUCAUUGCACCAGCGGUUAAAGGAACACAAAUAUCAGGACGUGACAUCAAUAUCUACUUUAUCACUUUACGUUUUAUCCAGUAUUCUUACUGCCUAUUUAAAUCUAAACAAAAAAAAGUGUAAACCAUAUAAAACAUCCUCACUAUAUGCUUUAAAAUGUAAACUACCUACUUAAAUGGAUUUUGUGAAGCCUCUCUUUUUGUCAAUAAUACACUACCUCUUGUGAAUUAAUUAUAAUAAAUAAUGAAAGCACAUUUCCGAAACAAUCAUUGGCAUAAAGUCAGCUUUUGUUUGAAUGUUAAGAUGCAAAAAAUAUGCACAUUGCAACAGCCUCCCCAUCAGUAAUUAAGAUAAAUGCAUCAAUUAUUAAACAUGCAAACAUGUCAAGCAAGCAUAACUAAUUAUUUGAGCAUGUUAACAGUUGUUUAAUGUUAACAAGCAGUGAAUUAUUAAAGACCCAGGUGUCACAUUUUGGACUACUUCAAACAGAGUGCUAUAAAAAGCUUCAGAGUUUUGCAGAGAUAUUUUAGUCAGAUAAGCAAUAAAGUUAUCUUUGCUUAUAAUAAAGACAAAGUAUUCAUUUACGAAUAAUUAUGGUAACUUGCAGCAAAAGUGCCCUUAGUGUCUUUUUAUUUUAUUUUAUUUGCAAAAUAGGCUCAUGGAGACUGUUUUCAGGGUAUAGCUUUCCCUAGCAUUGCUUUAAUACAAUGUUUAUUUGGAAGAAUGAUUGGAAUCCUAUCUAAAAAAAGGACCACUUGGGACAACACUACAGGAAGCCACGUGUUCAAGUAGAUAAUCCUCACCAACUAACAAAGAGUUUACAUUUUAAAAGGCAAACUUAAACAGAAGCUUUGGUAGAAUUACUCAUUUAUAAAUAUUGGCAGUAUGAUCAUGUACAGCUGUAUAGUAAAUCUGCAGUUAGCCAUGUUAUGAAAAGUUUUCAAUCAACAUGUCAAAUGUUAUUCUGUAAAGCCAACACUAUGGGCACCGCUGAAUAUUCCAGGAGGCACACUACCUAUAUUAUUAUAUUUUAUGCAAAGUGUAAAAAACAAAUAGAUGUGGUAUUUUAUAAUAUUCUAUUGUACUAGUUCAUCAGUUUUACCCAUGUGCCUUAUUCUCUUUUUUGUUGAUAGAAUGGGAAGGAAGCAUUUGGUAUUUGUGUGUAUGUAUACAAGAAUCCAGGUAUUACAGCUAAAUGUGUCUCUAAACAUCGAAAAACUCAGACCCAUGAAAUAGGAGAGACACAUCUGUGCCUGUAGUAUCUUGGUCAAGUAUGUAGGUAUCUGGCUAGUUUAUUUAGGUAAAUAAAUUGGUCCAUGGGGUGAUAGAUUCUCUGGAGGUCACCUGCCUUACUAAUUGUGAGAGAGAGAGAGUGAGUGAGAGAAAAAGACAGAGUAAAAGAAGAGGGGAGAUUCAUAGCAAGUAGAGUGAUACACAUGGGCGACAAAGGGCAGAGCAAAUAUACUUUAUAUCAUGGAAAAUAAUAGAAUUACAACUUGCUAUGUACGAAAGAAUGCAGUACAGUGGGCAAAGUAAAAAAAGAUGGGAUUGCAAGUAUCAAAGCAGGAGAAUAGUAGUUACAAUAUACCCAGCGAGAGGCAGGGAAUUGCAGUGAGAGAGUAUUGUAGCUGGCAGAGUAAAUGAGAGGAUAUUACAUCAGUGAAAGUGAUUGCAACUGGCAGAGUAAGCAGAGAUUGCAGUGGGCAGAGUGAGAGGGGUUUGCAGCUGCCAGAGAGAGGAUUGAAGCUGGCACAGUGAAUAAGAAGGUACUGCAUCUGUGAAAGUAAAUGCAGAUGGCACAGUGACAGGGAAUUACAGUAGGCAGAGUGAAUGAGAGGGUAUUACAGUGGAUGUAAUGAAUGAGGAGGUAUUGCUGCUGGUAGAUGAAUGAGAGGGUAUUACAGUGGAUGGGAUGAAUGAGGAGGGAAUGCAGCUCGCAGAGCAAAUGAGAGGGUUACAGUAGAUGGAAUGAAUGAGGAGGGAUUGAAGCUGGAAGAGUGAAUGAGAGGGUAUUACAGUGGAUGAAAUGAAUGAGGAAGAAUUGCAGCUGGCAGAGGGAAUGAAAGGGUAAUGCAGUGGAUAGAAUCAAUGAGGAGGUAUUGCAGCUGGCAGAGUGAAUGAGAGGGUAUUACAGUGGAUGGAAUGAAUGAGGAGGUUUGCAGCUGGUAGAGCGAAUGAGAGGGUUACAGUGGAUGGGAUGAAUGAGGAGGGAAUGCAGCUCGCAGAGCAAAUUAGAGGGUUACAGUAGAUGGAAUGAAUGAGGAGGGAUUGAAGCUGGAAGAGUGAAUGAGAGGGUAUUACAGUGGAUGAAAUGAAUGAGGAAGAAUUGCAGCUGGCAGAGGGAAUGAAAGGGUAAUGCAGUGGAUAGAAUCAAUGAGGAGGUAUUGCAGCUGGCAGAGUGAAUGAGAGGGUAUUACAGUGGAUGGAAUGAAUGAGGAGGUUUGCAGCUGGUAGAGCGAAUGAGAGGGUUACAGUGGAUGGGAUGAAUGAGGAGGGAAUGCAGCUCGCAGAGCAAAUUAGAGGGUUACAGUAGAUGGAAUGAAUGAGGAGGGAUUGAAGCUGGCAGAGUGAAUGAGAGGGUAUUACAGUGGAUGAAAUGAAUGAGGAAGAAUUGCAGCUGGCAGAGGGAAUGAAAGGGUAAUGCAGUGGAUGGAAUCAAUGAGGAGGUAUUGCAGCUGGCAGAGUGAAUGAGAGGGUAUUACAGUGGAUGGAAUGAAUGAGGAGGUUUGCAGCUGGUAGAGCGAAUGAGAGGGUUACAAUAGAUGGAAUGAAUGAGGAGGGAUUGCAGCUGGCAGAGUGAAUGAGCGGGUAUUACAAAGGAUGCAAUAAAUUAUGAGGGAUUGCAGCUGGCAGAAUGAAUGAGAGGGUAUUACAGUGAAUGGAAUGAAUGAGAAGGGAUUGCAGCUGGUAGAGUGAAUGAAAUGAACGAGGAAGGAUUGCAGCUGGCAGAGGGAAUGAAAGGGUAAUGCAGUGGAUUGAGGAGGGGAUUGCUGCUGGUAGAGUGAAUGAAAGGGUAUUACGAUGGAUGGAAUGGAUGAGGAGAGAUUGUAGCUGGAAGAAGGUAUUGCAAUUGAUGCAGCGAAUGAGGAGGGAUUGCAGCUGGCAGACUGAAUGAGAGGGUAUUAGAGUGGAGUGAAUGGAAUGAAUGAGGAGGGAUUGCAGCUGGUAGAGUGAAUGAGAGGGUAUUACAGUGAAUGGAAUGAAUGAGGAGGGAUUGCAGCUGAUAGAGUGAAUGAGAGGGCAUUGCAGUGAAUGGAAUGAAUGAGGAGAGAUUACAGCUGGUAGUGAAAGAGAGUGUAUUACAGUGGAUGGAAUGAAUGAGGAGGGAUUGCAGCUGACAGAGCGAAUGAGACGGUAUUGCAGGGGUUGCAAUGAAUGAGUAGGGGUUGCAGGGGCUUGUGUUUUUUUUUCUCCUUUCAUUGAAUCAACAGCAUAAAAGCAUGGCUUGAACUUGAUGGACUUAUGUCUUUUUUUCAAAAUAGACUACCAUUUAGCUAUGUCAUUUAAAUUAUUGAUGUGACCUCCGGAUAACUGCCUAGAGAUAUCGGAAGCACAGGAGAGUUAUUGAGACCAUAUAAGUGUCAUGGCCUUAUUUCAAUGAUGAUGUAAUUUCCAGGGCUGGAUUGAUCCUCUCUGCUGCCCCAAGACCAGUUUACUCAAUGUGCCCCAACCCAUCAUCUAUAUGACGCUUGGUGUAUGUGAUUGGAUGGAUAUGAGCAAUUUGGUUUAUGUGAUUGGAUGGUUGAAUGUAACUAGUUUGAGGUUAUGACUGUAUGGUAAUUAUGACUAGGUGGGUGACUGGAUGGCAAAAAGUGCAAUGUGUGUGGGAUAGGUGAGUUAUAUGGCCAAGUGUGUGAAUGUUAUAGGGUGAGUGAGUGAGAUGGGACUGAUAUAUUAUCGGUUAGGAGUAUGUGGCUGGUUGGGUGGAUGAAUGGCAAUGUGUACGAAGGAGCAUAUUUGAGUGCAUGUGAAUGACGGGUGUAUUUGUGUAGAGUGAUUGUGUGUGAAUCACGUUUCUGUGAUGUUUUAGCAUGUAUGGGUGGGUAUUUAAUGUGUAUGCAUAGGUGUAUUAGUGCCACCCUUUUUGUCUCUCAAUGCCCCUCUCCUUGUUCCCCUCUUCUUUCUCCCCUUCCCUCAUCUGUUCCCUUAUUUUUCUACUUGCCCCCCUCUUCAUUCUCCCAAUACCUCACUUGUUACCUUGUUACCCUCCCCUCACUUAUUCUCCUUUUUUUUGUCUCUUAAAAUACCAAAUACAGAGCAGUGACCAGCGCACACACACAAACAAAAUACAGCUUAAAUUUUACAAGUCUACAUAAAAUCACCUACCUUAGCAAACAAAUAUGCGGAUUCCAUUACAACGUAUGGCCAUAUUGUGUUAAUGUGCCCCAAUAUUGGUGGGUCCUACACUAAUUUUUACAUUGGAGAUUAACAUGUUGACUGCAAUACAUACUGUUUUAACUAAUUCCAGAGACUUUCCUCACUAUAUGCUUUUCUGUGGUUCCCGCCUAUGGAGAACCUAUCUGGGUAGGUGGGGUGCUCAGCCCAAUAAGAAUCUGGUCUGGAUUCCAAAUCUAUACACGGAAGAAAAUUGAUUUUUGGGUGUGUGCGCUGUUCCUUUGUAUGUAUUUUGUAUAUGUGUUGGUUUUUACUGCAGCACCGCUGCAUGGAGGUGCAUGUUCCAGAUGUGCCCCUAAUUUCCUUUCGUUACCCUUAAAAUACCUGCUAUAUUAUUUUGUUCCCCUGCUCACAAAAUGCGUCAUCUCUUUUCUCCCCCACAGGCAGCCAGAAGUACAGGAAGUCUCGCAGGGUUAUGACACUGAUUUCAUCUCAUCACAUUCUCCUGCAGUUAUUUCGAUUGCCUGCAUUGCAGAGAAAGACUUCCACAACGGGUGCUAGGCAAGAAGGGGAAAGAGCUAUUCCCCUUCUCGCCCAAGCACUCCUGCUAUAUCACCAAAGAUAGCAGGUCCAGCAGUGUCUCCCCCCCUUACGUAUUUUGUCUCGAGGCCAUGGUUUAGGCAGCCUUAUGGGAAGUCUGGUCCUGGUUAUUUCACAAUGCUUGGGGUACUUUCAGGUUAUAUCACACAUUUUUCCUUCAUGUUUGAGACUGCUAAGGAAAGAAGAAAAAAAACAAAAAACACACACACAAAAUAAUUUUUGAAAGGGGGUCGGAGCCAGCACCCAUGCGAGUUGGACGCAUCCUGCAGCAGCUCCUCAGGGAAAUCCACCCAAACGUUGAAUACAGGCGAAAACGGCACACUUACCAAGCCACUAACCGCCUCCUGUGUGCCUCACAUCAUUGGCAAGAAGGCAAAAAAAUAUAAAGUUGAUCCUGGCUCGGGCUCCCGAGAUAUCGGAGCUUUCAUGCGCACGACCAUGCGGCCUGAACCGUGCAAGAUGGC
This is a non-coding RNA of Pelobates cultripes (western spadefoot toad), 17668 nucleotides long. The record is from the annotation of a GenBank genome assembly. Lineage: Eukaryota; Metazoa; Chordata; Amphibia; Anura; Pelobatidae.